RNAcentral lists this long non-coding RNA (684 nucleotides) under Anas platyrhynchos platyrhynchos (common mallard). RNAcentral's name for it is "lncRNA (ENSAPLG00000023379.1)". Lineage: Eukaryota; Metazoa; Chordata; Aves; Anseriformes; Anatidae. The record is from RNAcentral.
GUGUAUAUGUGAUCUACCCAAACUACUUCUCAUUGGAGCUGUAUUAUACAUAGGUAAAACAUAACACUUUUACCCAGUCAGAGCAGCCAAGGAACAGCACAGAGUGCCCAACAAGUUGUUUUGCUGUAUUGCACUAUUAUCAGACAUUGAAAAGUCUUUCAGUAUUCUGAGAAAUAUCUGUUAACACUUGAUAACAGAAAACAGAAGCAUAAUUAAGGACUGAGAAUUCUCAGGGGGAAUUAAUUAUGAAUUUACAGGAGCACCUGUAUUUCUGGGAAACCCAAUCUGGCUCUACUGAUUUCAAUUUGGAAGUGGCAACAGAGGAAAAAGUGUGUUCACAUUGAAGGUGCCAGGAGGAGAAAGAGGAAGAAUGGCAGAAUGAAGUCCAAAUCAACCACAGAAAGGAAACAACUUCAGCAGAUGGUUUUCAUCACUGCAUCAGUACAAGCACUGUGACCAGAAGAGAGACCUAAAGAGCUGCUCAUUAAUCAGACACUGCUUCUGGGGACAGCAGGAAAACAGAAGAAAAAGGAGGCCCUUACACUUAGUGUUCCUCAGUCCAAUCUCAAGACUAAACAACUUGCACAGACUUACAAGGGGAGGCCAGUGUUACAAGUGUUAGCAGUGCACGUGCUCACAGUGUUUCAAGAAUAAAAAACUAACACAACAGAAAAAUAAGACUCA